This 497-nucleotide ribosomal RNA is filed under the name uncultured bacterium. RNAcentral describes it as "partial 16S ribosomal RNA". It matches the Rfam family "Bacterial small subunit ribosomal RNA", at positions 28 to 507 of the family's 1533-position model. The record is from RNAcentral.
GAUGAACGCUGGCGGCGUGCCUAAUACAUGCAAGUCGAGCGAACGGACGAGAAGCUUGCUUUUCUGAUGUUAGCGGCGGACGGGUGAGUAACACGUGGAUAACCUACCUAUAAGACUGGGAUAACUUCGGGAAACCGGAGCUAAUACCGGAUAAUAUUUUGAACCGCAUGGUUCAAAAGUGAAAGACGGUCUUGCUGUCACUUAUAGAUGGAUCCGCGCUGCAUUAGCUAGUUGGUAAGGUAACGGCUUACCAAGGCAGCGAUGCAUAGCCGACCUGAGAGGGUGAUAGGCCACACUGGAACUGAGACACGGUCCAGACUCCUACGGGAGGCAGCAGUAGGGAAUCUUCCGCAAUGGGCGAAAGCCUGACGGAGCAACGCCGCGUGAGUGAUGAAGGUCUUCGGAUCGUAAAACUCUGUUAUUAGGGAAGAACAUAUGUGUAAGUAACUGUGCACAUCUUGACGGUACCUAAUCAGAAAGCCACGGCUAACUACGUG